Molecule: ribosomal RNA, 397 nt
Filed under: Staphylococcus aureus
Lineage: Bacteria; Bacillati; Bacillota; Bacilli; Caryophanales; Staphylococcaceae
Description: partial 23S ribosomal RNA
Rfam family: Bacterial large subunit ribosomal RNA
Source: RNAcentral
AAGUGAGAAUGCCGGUGUGAGUAGCGAAAGACGGGUGAGAAUCCCGUCCACCGAUUGACUAAGGUUUCCAGAGGAAGGCUCGUCCGCUCUGGGUUAGUCGGGUCCUAAGCUGAGGCCGACAGGCGUAGGCGAUGGAUAACAGGUUGAUAUUCCUGUACCACCUAUAAUCGUUUUAAUCGAUGGGGGGACGCAGUAGGAUAGGCGAAGCGUGCGAUUGGAUUGCACGUCUAAGCAGUAAGGCUGAGUAUUAGGCAAAUCCGGUACUCGUUAAGGCUGAGCUGUGAUGGGGAGAAGACAUUGUGUCUUCGAGUCGUUGAUUUCACACUGCCGAGAAAAGCCUCUAGAUAGAAAAUAGGUGCCCGUACCGCAAACCGACACAGGUAGUCAAGAUGAGAAU